AACGAACGCUGGCGGCAGGCUUAACACAUGCAAGUCGAACGCACCUUUCGGGGUGAGUGGCAGACGGGUGAGUAACGCGUGGGAAUCUACCCUUCUCUACGGGAUAGCUCCGGGAAACUGGAAUUAAUACCGUAUACGUCCUGAGGGAGAAAGAUUUAUCGGGGAAGGAUGAGCCCGCGUUGGAUUAGCUAGUUGGUGGGGUAAAGGCCUACCAAGGCGACGAUCCAUAGCUGGUCUAAGAGGAUGAUCAGCCACAUUGGGACUGAGACACGGCCCAAACUCCUACGGGAGGCAGCAGUGGGGAAUAUUGGACAAUGGGCGCAAGCCUGAUCCAGCCAGGCCGCGUGAGUGAUGAAGGCCCUAGGGUUGUAAAGCUCUUUCAGUGGGGACGAUAAUGACGGUACCCACAGAAGAAGCCCCGGCUAACUUCGUG
This 433-nucleotide ribosomal RNA is filed under the name uncultured bacterium. RNAcentral's name for it is "partial 16S ribosomal RNA". It matches the Rfam family "Bacterial small subunit ribosomal RNA", at positions 29 to 507 of the family's 1533-position model. The record is from RNAcentral.